GAUGAACGCUGGCGGCGUGCCUAAUACAUGCAAGUCGAGCGAAUGGAUUAAGAGCUUGCUCUUAUGAAGUUAGCGGCGGACGGGUGAGUAACACGUGGGUAACCUGCCCAUAAGACUGGGAUAACUCCGGGAAACCGGGGCUAAUACCGGAUAACAUUUUGAACCGCAUGGUUCGAAAUUGAAAGGCGGCUUCGGCUGUCACUUAUGGAUGGACCCGCGUCGCAUUAGCUAGUUGGUGAGGUAACGGCUCACCAAGGCAACGAUGCGUAGCCGACCUGGGAGGGUGAUCGGCCACACUGGGACUGAGACACGGCCCAGACUCCUACGGGAGGCAGCAGGAGGGAAUCUUCCGCAAUGGACGAAAGUCAGACGGAGCAACGCCGCGUGAGUGAUGAAGGCUAUCGGGUCGUAAAACUCUGUUGUUAGGGAAGAACAAGUGCUAGUUGAAUAAGCUGGCACCUCGACGGUACCUAACCAGAAAAAGCACCGGCUAACUACGUGCCAGCAGCCGCGGUAA
RNAcentral lists this ribosomal RNA (517 nucleotides) under uncultured bacterium. RNAcentral describes it as "partial 16S ribosomal RNA". It matches the Rfam family "Bacterial small subunit ribosomal RNA", at positions 28 to 523 of the family's 1533-position model. The record is from RNAcentral.